This 429-nucleotide ribosomal RNA is filed under the name Gemmatimonadota bacterium. RNAcentral describes it as "Gemmatimonadetes bacterium partial 16S ribosomal RNA". It matches the Rfam family "Bacterial small subunit ribosomal RNA", at positions 355 to 776 of the family's 1533-position model. The record is from RNAcentral. Lineage: Bacteria; Pseudomonadati; Gemmatimonadota.
UAGGGAAUUUUCGGCAAUGGACGAAAGUCUGACCGAGCAACGCCGCGUGAGUGAAGAAGGUUUUCGGAUCGUAAAACUCUGUUGUUAGAGAAGAACAAGGACGUUAGUAACUGAACGUCCCCUGACGGUAUCUAACCAGAAAGCCACGGCUAACUACGUGCCAGCAGCCGCGGUAAAACGUAGGUGGCAAGCGUUGUCCGGAUUUAUUGGGCGUAAAGCGAGCGAAGGCGGUUUCUUAAGUCUGAUGUGAAAGCCCCCGGGUCAACCGGGGAGGGUCAUUGAAAACUGGGAGACUUGAGUGCAGAAGAGGUGGGUGGAAUUCCAUGUGUAGCGGUGAAAUGCGUAGAUAUAUGGAGGAACACCAGUGGCGAGGGCGGCUCUCUGGUCUGUAACUGACGCUGAGGCUCGAAAGCGUGGGGAGCAAACAGG